This is a long non-coding RNA of Homo sapiens (human), 2204 nucleotides long. RefSeq lists it as uncharacterized. The transcript has 3 exons. The record is from RefSeq and is a predicted model, not a curated record. Lineage: Eukaryota; Metazoa; Chordata; Mammalia; Primates; Hominidae.
GGGGACACGGCAGCUGGGCGGGGACACAGCGGCCUUGGGUUUGGGCUCCAGCCCCAGCCGGGCCCCCUCGCGCCGCUGCGGCUGCUGCGCGGUGAGGUCGUGACAAGUCACAGCUAACUUGCCCUCCGCGCCAUUCCACGCCACCAGGAAGCGCAGCCGGUGCCUCUCGGCAUCGGCGAAGAGGCCUUGCCGGACCGGCGCCCAGCCCUCCAGGCUGUCGAGCUGCUCGUCCUCCAUGGCCGUCGGCGGCAGCGGCCCUAGGACUCGGCGGGCGCGGGCCUGACCUCGUCGCACUGCCUGUCAGGGGACAGUCCCAGGCAUAACUGAAGGUGAAAGGACAGAAUCACCGUGUGUUACUGGCACAGAUGCAUCGGCUAGUGAAGAAAGAAGACAUUCAAACUAGUCCCGCUCUGUCGCCCAGUCUGGAGUGCAGCAGCGCCAUCAUAGCUCACUGCCACCUAGAAGCCGGGGUGAAGCAAUCCUCCUCCAUCAGCCUUCAGAGUAGCUGGGACUACCUGCGCGGCCCACCACACCCGGCUAAUCUUUGUGGUUUUUGUUUUGUUUUCCGUUCUGGGUUUCCGUCGGGCGCAGUGGCUCAGGCCUGCAAUCCCAGCACUUUGGAAGGCAGAGGUGGGCGGAUCACCCGAGGUCGGAGACCGGCCUGACCAACAUGAAGAAAUCCCGUCUCUACUAAAAAAAAGAAAAAAACUACAAAAUUAGCCGGAUAUGGUGGCUCAUGCCUGUAAUCCCAGCUACUAGGGAGGCCCAGGCAGGAGAAUCACCUAAAUCCGGGAGGCCGAGGUUGCGGUGGGCAAAGAUCACACCAUUGCACUCCAGCCUGGACAACAAGGGUGAAACUCCGUCUCAAAACAGAGACCGGGUUUCACCAUGUUGCCCAGGCGGUCUGGAACUCCUAGGCUCAAGCGAUCUGCCACACUCGGCCUUCCAAAGUCCUGGGAUCACAAGGGGGAGGCACCACGCCAGGCAGAUCUAUUCCUUUCUGGUUACUAAAUUGGACCGGGGGCGCGGUGGCUCACGCCUGCAAUCCCAGCACCCAGGGAGGCGGAGGCGGGCGUAUCACUCGAGGUCAGGAGCUCGAGAUCAGCCUGACCAACACGGAGAAACCCCGUCUGUACCAAAAAAAUAAAACCAAAAUUAGCUGGCAUGGUGGCUCAUGCCUGCAAUCCCAGACACUCAGGAGGCUGAGGCAGGAGAACCACCUAAACCCGGGAGGUGGAGGCCGCGGUGAGUCGAGACCACGCCACUGCACUCCAGCCUGCAAAACGAGCGAAACUCCACUCAAAAAAAAAAAAAAAAAAAAGACAGUGUUUCACCACGUUGCCCAGGCCGGUCUGGAAGUCCUAGGCUCAAUCGAUCGCCGCGCUCGGCCGUCCACAGUACUGGGAUCACAAGCAUGAGCUACCACGCCAGGCCGAUCUAUUCCUUUCUGGUUACUAAAUUGGACCGGAGGCGCGGUGGCUCACGCCUGCAAUCCCAGCACCCAGGGAGGCGGAGGCGGGUGGAUCACCCGAGGUCAGGAGCUUGAGAUCAGCCCGGCCAACACGGAGAAACCCCGUCUGUACAAAAAAAAAAAACACCAAAAUUAGCUGGCAUGGUGGCUCAUGCCUGCAAUCCCAGCCACUCAGGAGGCUUAGGCAGGAGAACCACCUAACCGGGAGGUGGAGGCCGCGGUGAGUCGAGACCGGAAAACACUCUAGCCUGGAAAACAAGAGCGAAACUCCGCUCAAAAAAAAAAAAAAAAAAAAAAAAAAAAAAGACCGUGUUUCACCAUGUCGUCCAGGCUGGUCUGGAACUCCUAGAACCUGUAGAUGUUACCUCAUUUGGAAAAAGCAUAUUUUCAGGUAUGAUUAAGUUAAGGAUCUUGAGGAGAGAUUAUCCUGGAUUGUCUCCGUGGGCAUUAAAUCCUGGCACAUAUAUCCUUAUAAGAGGGAGAUAAAGGAGAUUUAACUUCAGACAGAAGAGAAGGAGGCCCUGUGACCAAGAAGGCAGAGCCUGGAGUGGUGGAGCUGCAAGCCAAUGAAUGCCAGCAGCCAUCAGAAGCUGCGCAAGUCAAAGGAUGGAUUUUCCCCUCAGCCUCUGAGAGCACUGGCUCUGCUGAGACCUAGAUUUCAGCCCAGUGAUACUGAUUUUGGACUUCUGAUAUCCAAAACUGUGAGAAAAUAAAUUUCUGUUGUUUUAAGUCA